GACGUGCUAAUCUGCGAAAAGCGCCGGUAAGGUGAUAUGAACCGUUAUAACCGGCGAUGUCCGAAUGGGGAAACCCAGUGUGACUCGUCACACUAUCAUUAACUGAAUCCAUAGGUUAAUGAGGCGAACCGGGGGAACUGAAACAUCUAAGUACCCCGAGGAAAAGAAAUCAACCGAGAUUCCCCCAGUAGCGGCGAGCGAACGGGGAGGAGCCCAGAGCCUGAAUCAGCAUGUGUGUUAGUGGAAGCGUCUGGAAAGGCGCGCGAUACAGGGUGAGAGCCCCGUACACAAAAGCGCACGUGCUGUGAGCUCGAUGAGUAGGGCGGGACACGUGGUAUCCUGUCUGAAUAUGGGGGGACCAUCCUCCAAGGCUAAAUACUCCUGACUGACCGAUAGUGAACCAGUACCGUGAGGGAAAGGCGAAAAGAACCCCGGCGAGGGGAGUGAAACAGAACCUGAAACCGUGUACGUACAAGCAGUGGGAGCCCCACCACUAAGCCAGUGGUGAACUCCACAUACGCAUCCUUUGCUGAGGAUACGGUUAACGGAGCGAAAGCGACGUUCAACCGCAAAAGAAGCAGAGGGGGCUUAGUGGUGGGGUGACUGCGUACCUUUUGUAUAAUGGGUCAGCGACUUAUAUUCUGUAGCAAGGUUAACCGCAUAGGGGAGCCGGAGGGAAACCGAGUCUUAAUUGGGCGUUAAGUUGCAGGGUAUAGACCCGAAACCCGGUGAUCUAGCCAUGGGCAGGUUGAAGGUUGGGUAACACUAACUGGAGGACCGAACCGACUAAUGUUGAAAAAUUAGCGGAUGACCUGUGGCUGGGGGUGAAAGGCCAAUCAAACCGGGAGAUAGCUGGUUCUCCCCGAAAGCUAUUUAGGUAGCGCCUCGUGAAUUCAUCUCCGGGGGUAGAGCACUGUUUCGGCCAGGGGGCCAUCCCGGCUUACCAAUCCGAUGCAAACUGCGAAUACCGGAGAAUGUUAUCACGGGAGACACACGGCGGGUGCUAACGUCCGUCGUGAAGAGGGAAACAACCCAGACCGCCAGCUAAGGUCCCAAAGUCAUGGUUAAGUGGGAAACGAUGUGGGAAGGCCCAGACAGCCAGGAUGUUGGCUUAGAAGCAGCCAUCAUUUAAAGAAAGCGUAAUAGCUCACUGGUCGAGUCGGCCUGCGCGGAAGAUGUAACGGGGCUAAACCAUGCACCGAAGCUGCGGCAGCGACACUGAUGUGUUGUUGGGUAGGGGAGCGUUCUGUAAGCCGUUGAAGGUGGCCUGUGAGGGUUGCUGGAGGUAUCAGAAGUGCGAAUGCUGACAUAAGUAACGAUAAAGCGGGUGAAAAGCCCGCUCGCCGGAAGACCAAGGGUUCCUGUCCAACGUUAAUCGGGGCAGGGUGAGUCGACCCCUAAGGCGAGGCCGAAAGGCGUAGUCGAUGGGAAACGGGUUAAUAUUCCCGUACUUGGUGUUACUGCGAAGGGGGGACGGAGAAGGCUAUGUUGGCCGGGCGACGGUUGUCCCGGUUUAAGCGUGCAGGUGUGUGUUCCAGGUAAAUCCGGUU
Molecule: ribosomal RNA, 1550 nt
Filed under: Salmonella enterica subsp. houtenae serovar 44:z4,z24:-
Lineage: Bacteria; Pseudomonadati; Pseudomonadota; Gammaproteobacteria; Enterobacterales; Enterobacteriaceae
Description: partial 23S ribosomal RNA
Rfam family: Bacterial large subunit ribosomal RNA
Source: RNAcentral